UCUGCUUUGGCUGGUUGUGUUGGAACCGGCAACAUUUUCGGUGUGGCCACAGCCAUCUUUGUGGGCGGGCCUGGUGCCGUAUUCUGGAUGUGGAUC
This 96-nucleotide transfer RNA is filed under the name Clostridium sp. FS41. RNAcentral describes it as "tRNA-Glu". Lineage: Bacteria; Bacillati; Bacillota; Clostridia; Eubacteriales; Clostridiaceae. The record is from RNAcentral.